Molecule: ribosomal RNA, 1899 nt
Filed under: Xylella fastidiosa
Lineage: Bacteria; Pseudomonadati; Pseudomonadota; Gammaproteobacteria; Lysobacterales; Lysobacteraceae
Description: partial 23S ribosomal RNA
Rfam family: Bacterial large subunit ribosomal RNA
Source: RNAcentral
UUCAUAGCUAAGUCGGAAAACGAUGUGGAAAGGCAUAGACAGCCAGGAGGUUGGCUUAGAAGCAGCCAUCCUUUAAAGAAAGCGUAAUAGCUCACUGGUCGAGUCGGUCUGCGCGGAAGAUUUAACGGGGCUAAGCUAUGAACCGAAGCUUGGGGUGCAUAUUUUUAUAUGCGCGGUAGAGGAGCGUUCCGUAAGCCUGUGAAGGUGAGUUGAGAAGCUUGCUGGAGGUAUCGGAAGUGCGAAUGCUGACAUGAGUAACGAUAAUAUGGGUGAAAAACCCAUACGCCGAAAGCCUAAGGUUUCCUUGCGCAACGUUAAUCGGCGCAGGGUUAGUCGGCCCCUAAGGCGAGGGCGAAAGCCGUAGUCGAUGGGAAGCAGGUUAAUAUUCCUGCACCUCGCGUGAGUGCGAUGGAGGGACGGAGAAGGCUAGGUGUACCGGGCGUUGGUUGUCCCGGGGAAAGGAGGUAGGCUGGUUCCUUAGGAAAAUCCGGGGGUCCUUUUAAAGCCGAGCACCGAGACGAGUCUUUUUAGAUGAAGUCACUGAUGCCACGCUUCCAGGAAAAGCUUCUAAGCUUCAGCUCACGAAGACCGUACCGUAAACCGACACAGGUAGGUAGGAUGAGAAUUCUCAGGCGCUUGAGAGAACUCGGGUGAAGGAACUAGGCAACAUGGCACCGUAACUUCGGGAGAAGGUGCACCCUUUUUGGUGGCGCGUGCGCGUUAUAGCUGAAGAGGGUCGCAGAAACCAGGCCGCUGCGACUGUUUAUCAAAAACACAGCACUCUGCAAACACGAAAGUGGACGUAUAGGGUGUGACGCCUGCCCGGUGCUGGAAGGUUAAUUGAUGGGGUUAGCUGUAAAAAGCGAAGCUCUUGAUCGAAGCCCCAGUAAACGGCGGCCGUAACUAUAACGGUCCUAAGGUAGCGAAAUUCCUUGUCGGGUAAGUUCCGACCUGCACGAAUGGCGUAACGACAGCGGCGCUGUCUCCACCCGAGACUCAGUGAAAUUGAAAUCGCUGUGAAGAUGCAGCGUUCCCGUGGCAAGACGGAAAGACCCGUGAACCUUUACUAUAGCUUUACACUGAACGUUGAGUUCGUCUGUGUAGGAUAGGUGGAGGCUAUGAAACCAUGACGCUAGUUGUGUUGGAGCCAUCCUUGAAAUACCACCCUGUCGUGCUUGACGUUCUAACCUAGUUCCGUUAUCCGGAUCAGGGACAGUGUAUGGUGGGUAGUUUGACUGGGGCGGUCUCCUCCCAAAGAGUAACGGAGGAGCACGAAGGUACGCUCAGCGCGGUCGGACAUCGCGCACUGUGUGCAAAGGCAUAAGCGUGCUUGACUGCGAGAUCGACGGAUCAAGCAGGUACGAAAGUAGGUCUUAGUGAUCCGGUGGUUCUGUAUGGAAGGGCCAUCGCUCAACGGAUAAAAGGUACUCCGGGGAUAACAGGCUGAUACCGCCCAAGAGUUCAUAUCGACGGCGGUGUUUGGCACCUCGAUGUCGGCUCAUCACAUCCUGGGGCUGUAGUCGGUCCCAAGGGUAUGGCUGUUCGCCAUUUAAAGUGGUACGCGAGCUGGGUUCAGAACGUCGUGAGACAGUUCGGUCCCUAUCUGCCAUGGGCGUUGGAGAUUUGAGAGGGGCUGCUCCUAGUACGAGAGGACCGGAGUGGACGAACCUCUGGUGUUCCGGUUGUCACGCCAGUGGCAUUGCCGGGUAGCUAUGUUCGGAAGCGAUAACCGCUGAAAGCAUCUAAGCGGGAAGCGCGCCUCAAGAUGAGAUCUCCCGGGAUGUAAAUCCCCUAAAGGAACCAUGUAGACUACGUGGUGGAUAGGUCAGGUGUGUAAGUGCAGCAAUGCAUUGAGCUAACUGAUACUAAUGAUCCGUGUGGCUUGACCAUAUAACCUUA